This 73-nucleotide transfer RNA is filed under the name Vigna radiata var. radiata (mung bean). RNAcentral's name for it is "tRNA tRNA-Glu". It matches the Rfam family "tRNA". Rfam says of the family: Transfer RNA (tRNA) molecules are approximately 80 nucleotides in length. Their secondary structure includes four short double-helical elements and three loops (D, anti-codon, and T loops). Lineage: Eukaryota; Viridiplantae; Streptophyta; Magnoliopsida; Fabales; Fabaceae. The record is from Rfam by way of RNAcentral.
UCCGUUGUAGUCUAGUUGGUCAGGAUAUUCGGCUCUCAUCCGAAAGACCCGGGUUCAAAUCCCGGCAACGGAA